Molecule: transfer RNA, 75 nt
Filed under: Verrucomicrobiaceae bacterium
Lineage: Bacteria; Pseudomonadati; Verrucomicrobiota; Verrucomicrobiia; Verrucomicrobiales; Verrucomicrobiaceae
Description: tRNA-Thr
Rfam family: tRNA
About the family: Transfer RNA (tRNA) molecules are approximately 80 nucleotides in length.
Source: RNAcentral
GCCGGCUUAGCUCAGUGGUAGAGCAACGGUUUUGUAAACCGUCGGUCUUCGGUUCAAAUCCGAAAGUCGGCUCCA